CGAGUGGCGAACGGGUGAGUAACACGUGGGUAAUCUGCCCUGCACUCUGGGAUAAGCCUGGGAAACUGGGUCUAAUACUGGAUAUGACCUUUCUCCUUAUGGGGUUUGGUGGAAAGUUUUCGGUGUAGGAUGAGCCCGCGGCCUAUCAGCUUGUUGGUGGGGUGAUGGCCUACCAAGGCGACGACGGGUAGCCGGCCUGAGAGGGUGAUCGGCCACAUUGGGACUGAGAUACGGCCCAG
This 239-nucleotide ribosomal RNA is filed under the name uncultured Actinomycetales bacterium. RNAcentral's name for it is "partial 16S ribosomal RNA". It matches the Rfam family "Bacterial small subunit ribosomal RNA", at positions 92 to 334 of the family's 1533-position model. Lineage: Bacteria; Bacillati; Actinomycetota; Actinomycetes; Actinomycetales. The record is from RNAcentral.